AUUAAACGCUGGCGGCAUGCCUUACACAUGCAAGUCGAACGGUAGCGCGGGGCAACCUGGCGACGAGUGGCGAACGGGUGAGUAAAGCAUCGGAACGUGCCCUGGAAUGGGGGAUAACGUAGCGAAAGUUACGCUAAUACCGCAUAUUCUGUGAGCAGGAAAGCAGGGGAUCGCAAGACCUUGCGUUCUGGGAGCGGCCGAUGUCGGAUUAGCUAGUUGGUGGGGUAAAAGCCUACCAAGGCGACGAUCCGUAGCGGGUCUGAGAGGAUGAUCCGCCACACUGGGACUGAGACACGGCCCAGACCUCCGUACGGGAGGCAGCAGGGUAGGGGUAAGUUUUGGAACAAGUGGGGACGGAACGCC
Molecule: ribosomal RNA, 363 nt
Filed under: uncultured bacterium
Lineage: Bacteria
Description: bacterial SSU rRNA
Rfam family: Bacterial small subunit ribosomal RNA
Source: RNAcentral